AGUGAACGCUGGCGGUAGGCCUAACACAUGCAAGUCGAACGGCAGCACAGUAAGAGCUUGCUCUUACGGGUGGCGAGUGGCGGACGGGUGAGGAAUACAUCGGAAUCUACUUUUUCGUGGGGGAUAACGUAGGGAAACUUACGCUAAUACCGCAUACGACCUACGGGUGAAAGCAGGGGAUCUUCGGACCUUGCGCGAUUGAAUGAGCCGAUGUCGGAUUAGCUAGUUGGCGGGGUAAAGGCCCACCAAGGCGACGCUCCGUAGCUGGUCUGAGAGGAUGACCGGCCACACUGGAACUGGAACACGGUCCAGACUCCUACGGGAGGCAGCAGUGGGGAAUAUUGGACAAUGGGCGCAAGCCUGAUCCAGCCAUACCGGGUGGGUGAAGAAGGCUUUCGGGUUGUAAAGCCCUUUUGUUGGGAAAGAAAAACAGCAGGUUAAUACCCCGCUGUUCUGACGGUACCCAAAGAAUAAGCACCGGCUAACUUCGUG
Molecule: ribosomal RNA, 492 nt
Filed under: uncultured bacterium
Lineage: Bacteria
Description: partial 16S ribosomal RNA
Rfam family: Bacterial small subunit ribosomal RNA
Source: RNAcentral